AUCUUUGCGCAGUGGCAGUAUCGUAGCCUAUGAGGUUUAUCCGAGGCGCGAUUAUUGCUAAUUGAAAACUUUACCCAAUCCCCCGCCGUGACGACUUGAAAUAUAGUCGGCACUGGCAAUUUUUGACGGUCUUUACGGAGA
Molecule: small nuclear RNA, 141 nt
Organism: Sinocyclocheilus rhinocerous
Lineage: Eukaryota; Metazoa; Chordata; Actinopteri; Cypriniformes; Cyprinidae
Gene: U4
Rfam family: U4 spliceosomal RNA
About the family: U4 small nuclear RNA (U4 snRNA) is a component of the major U2-dependent spliceosome. The structure of U4 snRNA from yeast and human has been reported.
Source: Ensembl